ACGAAAGUUCUUUCCUGGGAUGCCCAUGUUGCCAGGAAACAGCCAGAGAGACAACAGAGGAUCGGAAAACCUGAGAACACUCUUGAAAUGGCAUCAGGAAAUGAGGAGAAAUGAAGUGAGCUCCGUGCCAGGGACUCUUUAAAGAUCCAAGAGCCCCAUCAACAGUAGCGCAGAAUGGCCCAUAAACCAGUGUUCUCCACUCAAGUUUCCAUCUGCUUAAUUCUAGUCCGGUUAAAUAAGAGACAGAAUCUUUUUCCAGUACCACUAUAACUGCUGUCCUGAGAUCAGUGGAACAGCCAGUUAGACACUGUGAGAAUUGGCUUCACCAUCCAUGACCUUCAGGGAGGCAUGAAGCUGAAAGCGACAGUGUGGACGUCUCUCUCUCUCGGUCUGGUGUGUUUGGUUAUGCUGAAGAAACACAGAGCUGAGUGUGCAUAACUGCUCUGCAAAUCAGGAAAUGAUAUAUUAAGGGGUAAGAUAGCCUGAAAAAUAUCUCAUCCAGUGCAGCAUUUGUCUAAGAUCUGUUUGGUCUAAGAUGCAAAUUAAACACAGAAGUCAUUGUAUUUAUUUGGCCAGCUUCGUAUAUGUUCCCUUGUUCAUACAUGCUGGUUACCAGCUAGUGCUUAAGGUGAGAAUGACUAUUAUUAUUGCUCAUACUUAGCUUAGGGAUAGAAGGGACAGAAAUAGAAAGAGUAGAAUAUAUCAUUAUUAGGUAAAAGAAGAGCAUGACAGGUAGGGAACAGAAAUUAGGCCUGAUUUCUGUGUAAUGCUGUGUGAUUAAUGCAAUUUCACAGACAGUCAAUAUAGACUUGUUUGACAUUCAAAUCAUUAACAUUAUGUGUUACAUCCAGCUUUGGAAGAAAUCUGAUAGUUAGCAUUUUUAAUAAUCAUAUAAAUUGAUAAAAUACAAUUUUACUGUAUAUGUUUUAAUAUUUUAAACAAUGUAUGCCUGACAGCUUUCUCUGUUUCUCUGCAAUGUUGCUGUUUCCUAAUGUCUGAGAGUUGCAAAGGACAAGCUCUGUCCUGUCAAAAUGAAUCCGCUCCAUCUCCUUCAGUCUGUGACAAUAAGAAUGUCUCCGUUAAGAUCCUGGAUCACUGACGUGACAGAAAAGUGAUGACAGACCAGCUAUACCCCCUGCUGAUAUUUUAGAGAAGAUGGCUGCUGGACAAAGCUAGACUGAAGACAAGCCCUGAACAGAAUGGUCCCGCAUCUGAUUUGAAGACCGUGGAUAUGCGCACACAGACAGAGUUUCACCGAGAUCAAUGUAGGAUGAUGGUAUGAUAUCAAUGUUUGCGGUAGGAGGAUGAGUGGGCAAAACAAUAUGGCUGGCCUAUCUUUUUUCUCUUUUUUUUUUUUUUUUGGCAUUGUUGGUUGAAGCUGAGUGAACUGAGUUCAGAAAGGAACUGAUCCUGUCCGUUGAACUGUGACUACUCAAACUUAGAGAAAGCAAGAAAGAGAUUGUUUUCAGUAGAGGAUUUUUUCACUUUAAUUCCUGUUAUGUGGGUGGAAUUCCUUCACUGAACCAGAAGUAUAAACAGGACAUUUCCGAUACCUGUGCUUCUCAGCUUUUAAUCAGAUUUAUCACACCUCUCUGUAUGUCUGAGUAACGCAUGACGACAGAGUUCAUCCGAGGUUUCAGAAAGCUCACACCACAGUGACAUAUUCUGCAGUGAGUUCAUUUUGGCUUGCCAGCCACGUGAAACAGCAAAUGAUUUCCUUUUAGCUACAUAGUCUACAACUUAACAUUUUGAAAUGUUAUUGAUGAUUAAUAAUGGAAUUCAUAUUAAUAAUAAUUUUUAUUAAUA
Ctenopharyngodon idella (grass carp) is the source of this 1806-nucleotide long non-coding RNA. RefSeq lists it as uncharacterized. The transcript is spliced from 5 exons. NCBI's taxonomy places the organism in Eukaryota, Metazoa, Chordata, Actinopteri, Cypriniformes, Xenocyprididae. The record is from RefSeq and is a predicted model, not a curated record.